This 248-nucleotide ribosomal RNA is filed under the name uncultured bacterium. RNAcentral's name for it is "partial 16S ribosomal RNA". It matches the Rfam family "Bacterial small subunit ribosomal RNA", at positions 15 to 260 of the family's 1533-position model. The record is from RNAcentral.
GAUCCUGGCUCAGGACGAACGCUGGCGGCGUGCUUAACACAUGCAAGUCGAACGCUGAAGCCCAGCUUGCUGGGUGGAUGAGUGGCGAAUGGGUGAGUAACACGUGAGUAACCUGCCCCCUUCUUUGGGAUAACGCCCGGAAACGGGUGCUAAUACUGGAUAUUCACUGAUCUUCGCAUGGGGGUUGGUGGAAAGGUUUUUUCUGGUGGGGGAUGGGCUCGCGGCCUAUCAGCUUGUUGGUGGGGUGA